UCCGCCUUCAGAAGGUCAUGACUGCGUCGCUCCUCUAUUAACCCUUUAGCCAAACUUUCACCAGCGUUUCACUGAGGGGUAGUUUGCGUAAAGAGCUCAGCGGGUUCCAGGAGGCGUUUGCUAAAUGGCUGCUCUGUGAGGUGGGAGCUUGGAAAUCUCAGCUCAGAGGAGAAGAGAUGAAAGGAUUUCCCAAACACGCAUAAAAGAAUCACAGCGACACUCCAGUGCACGUCUGUUGGGAGCAAAGUUGUGCUACCAUGCAUCAGGAUGGGAUGUGUAAAGUGUAUAUUCAAGCAUCUGCUCAUCCCUUGGGGAAUAGAUUUCAAUGUUCUGAGUGUGAAUUUAGUAGUCUGAUCAUUUUUAGUCAGAUUAAUCAGAAAGUUGGUCAUACCUCCAGUCUCACUUUCAGUUUCAAUAAUCUGGCAUCUUUAUUUCUGUGCAUAGGGCAGAACAUUGACUAAGAUCAAGUAAUGUUAUUAUUUGUGUUAUUAUUGCUGCCAUAUUCAAUAAAUUAUCCUUUGAAAAUCGACAACCUUUAAUUAGAUAUUAAGCAAACUUUUCAUUAAGGCUGCAUUUCUGUAUUUAUUUAUUUUUUUGGUGUGAUGUAAUAUUGUAUAUUUAAAUGUCAUGUUUUUAUUAUCUGUCAGAGGAAAAUGUGACAGAUAAUCAUUCAAAGAAAUAAAGUCCUUCAAACAUC
Molecule: long non-coding RNA, 697 nt
Organism: Xiphophorus couchianus (Monterrey platyfish)
Lineage: Eukaryota; Metazoa; Chordata; Actinopteri; Cyprinodontiformes; Poeciliidae
Exons: 2
Source: RefSeq, a predicted model, not a curated record